RNAcentral lists this ribosomal RNA (402 nucleotides) under bacterium. Its description in RNAcentral is "partial 16S ribosomal RNA". It matches the Rfam family "Bacterial small subunit ribosomal RNA", at positions 355 to 776 of the family's 1533-position model. The record is from RNAcentral.
UGGGGAAUUUUGCACAAUGGGGGAAACCCUGAUGCAGCGACGCCGCGUGAUUUAGAAGGCCUUCGGGUUGUAAAAAUCUUUUCUAUGGGAAGAAAAUGACAGUACCAUAGGAAUAAGGACCGGCUAAUUACGUGCCAGCAGCCGCGGUAAUACGUAAGGUCCGAGCGUUGUCCGGAAUCAUUGGGCGUAAAGGGUACGUAGGCGGGUAAGCAAGUUAGAAGUGAAAUCCUAUAGCUCAACUAUAGUAAGCUUUUAAAACUGCUCAUCUUGAGGUAUGGAAGGGAAAGUGGAAUUCCUAGUGUAGCGGUGAAAUGCGCAGAUAUUGGGAGGAAUACCGGUGGCGAAGGCGACUUUCUGGCCAUAACCUGACGCUGAGGUACGAAAGCGUGGGUAGCAAACAGG